AGAGUUUGAUCAUGGCUCAGAUUGAACGCUGGCGGCAUGCCUAACACAUGCAAGUCGAACGGCAGCACAGCAGUAGCAAUACUGUGGGUGGCGAGUGGCGGACGGGUGAGUAAUGCAUCGGGACCUACCUGAACGUGGGGGAUAACGUAGGGAAACUUACGCUAAUACCGCAUACGUCCUACGGGAGAAAGCGGGGGACCUUCGGGCCUCGCGCGGUCAGACGGACCGAUGUUCGAUUAGCUAGUUGGUAGGGUAAUGGCCUACCAAGGCGACGAUCGAUAGCUGGUCUGAGAGGAUGAUCAGCCACACUGGAACUGAGACACGGUCCAGACUCCUACGGGAGGCAGCAGUGGGGAAUAUUGGACAAUGGGCGCAAGCCUGAUCCAGCAAUGCCGCGUGUGUGAAGAAGGCCCUCGGGUUGUAAAGCACUUUUAUCAGGAGCGAAAUACUACCGGUUAAUAACCGGUGGGGCUGACGGUACCUGAGGAAUAAGCACCGGCUAACUUCGUGCCAGCAGCCGCGGUAAUAC
This 529-nucleotide ribosomal RNA is filed under the name uncultured bacterium. RNAcentral describes it as "bacterial SSU rRNA". It matches the Rfam family "Bacterial small subunit ribosomal RNA", at positions 8 to 526 of the family's 1533-position model. The record is from RNAcentral.